This 507-nucleotide ribosomal RNA is filed under the name Arthrobacter sp. LV-3. RNAcentral's name for it is "bacterial SSU rRNA". It matches the Rfam family "Bacterial small subunit ribosomal RNA", at positions 53 to 561 of the family's 1533-position model. Lineage: Bacteria; Bacillati; Actinomycetota; Actinomycetes; Micrococcales; Micrococcaceae. The record is from RNAcentral.
ACAUGCAGUCGAACGAUGAACUGGCGCUUGCGUCGGGGAUUNGUGGCGAACGGGUGAGUAACACGUGAGUAACCUGCCCUUAACUCUGGGAUAAGCCUUGGAAACGAGGUCUAAUACUGGAUAUUGACUUUUCCUCGCAUGGGGUUUGGUUGAAAGAUUUAUUGGUUUUGGAUGGACUCGCGGCCUAUCAGCUUGUUGGUGAGGUAAUGGCUCACCAAGGCGACGACGGGUAGCCGGCCUGAGAGGGUGACCGGCCACACUGGGACUGAGACACGGCCCAGACNCCNACGGGAGGCAGCAGUGGGGAAUAUUGCACAAUGGGCGAAAGCCUGAUGCAGCGACGCCGCGUGANGGAUGACGGCCUUCGGGUUGUAAACCUCUUUCAGUAGGGAACAAGGCCAGCAUUUUUGUUGGUUGAGGGUACUUGCAGAAGAAGCGCCGGCUAACUACGUGCCAGCAGCCGCGGUAAUACGUAGGGCGCAAGCGUUAUCCGGAAUUAUUGGGCGU